Molecule: long non-coding RNA, 4392 nt
Filed under: Homo sapiens (human)
Lineage: Eukaryota; Metazoa; Chordata; Mammalia; Primates; Hominidae
Description: non-protein coding lnc-FOXA2-14:2
Source: RNAcentral
GUUCCCUCCGACUCCCACCAUCUGAAAAGCGUUUGCAGUAACUCUCAACACAGAACAUGGAGAAUCACGGAAUGAAGUAUUCCCACUGAGUGUUCUUGCGAAUGAGAUUAGCCUGAUACAUUUUUGUUGUUGUGUUUACCUUUUAUUUUGUACUAACAUGAAAAUUAAUUUUCUUGCUUUGUUCAUAGUUAUGAUUAAAAUCAUGCCACUUUUUAAUUUGCUUUCUAUUUGGAGAAUGAUUUUCAUUUAGUUUUUGUGUGUUUGUUUGUCCUGGAGUUUUUAAUUGUUAUUCUUGUUUCUUGUUAGCAAAAGAAUAACUAUACUUUCCAGUUGCUCCAUCUUCUCAUCUUCUUGGUCAGAGAAUCCUCAAGUGGCGUACCUUCCCCUCUUCUUCUUUACCUGAGACGCUCCCUCUCAGCGCCUGUGUCCUUCAGACCCAAAGCUGCUGGCACCUUGAUCUCUGACUUUUAGCCUGUUGUUUAAGCCUCCCGGUCUAUGGUACUUUGUUAUGGCAGCCCUAGCAAACUAAUACAGAACUAUUACAAGUGGUGCUGCUAGGAGCAUUUUUGUAUAUGUCUUUUGGUGACCAUUUGUAUAGAUUUCUGCUAGAAAUACACAAUUCUCAGGAGUGAAGUUGUUAUGUCAAAGAGUAUGCAUAUUAUCAGCAUAAGUAGACACCAGAAACGUUUCCAAAGUUUUUCUGUAUUAAUUUAUGCUUCCCUGAGUCCUUCUAGACAAGUACUUAGCCUAAAGCCUCCCCACACCUACAGCCUAUACUUCUGUCCCUCUGUGCUUUCUAACUUCUUCCUACCCUGGUUCUUCAUCACUGGGUGCUCUGAUAAGCCCCUCUGUGCCAUCUUACAAUCAGACUUGUCCUGGUUUUCUAUGUUUGGACUUUUUUCCAUGCUUCUUUUUUUCGCUGAUUGCCUUACUCCUGGGAUAACUUUUUUCUUUCAUCAAAGCUUACCUAUCCUGACUUCAGCUAGGUGACAGUGAGUAACUAUAAUCAGAUAAAUUAUUUGGUACAAAUGAGAUAGACUUCUAAAGUAUUUAUGGCCUUAUACAUGGGUUAUAAUUACAUCCCGUUAAAGUUUAGAAAUACUGGGCAGUCUUUGGAGCUUUCCCAUAUGAGACAUUUUCAUGAGUCUUAAAGUCAUGACGAGUAGGGCAGCUGACUGUUCUGGGAAUGAGGUCACUUUUGGGCAUGGAAUGAGAAUUCAUAGACUUUCACUUCUCCCAGCUCUGAAUGUCUUCUUCACCUCUACAAACACAUUCAUCUUCAUGCUUCAUUUUACCAGGUUUCAUGCCAACAUUUAUUCAGAUGUCCAAGAGGCUUAAGACAGAGUGUGAUGCUAUUAACACCACCAAAAGAAAAAAUCCAAGCUGCAGAAGGGUAAUGUUACUCAUAUCCCUUACAAAUCCAGACAAUUACAAUCCCAAAUAUGUGAGUCAAUUCCUGGGAUAAAGGAAAGUCUGUAAGGGAAGAGACAGUUUUCAGAAAAGCCUUUUACCUCUGGGAGCAGUACUUGAUGGAUGACUCAAAACAAAACUACAGAAUAAGAAUCAAGAGUGUACAAAUCUCAGAUAACACAGCAGAGAGAGCUAGUUAAUGCGUGGGGCGAGGAAUGCGGAACUGAGCUGGUGCAGGCCCCGCAUGCAGGCACAUGGCAAUGGGCUUCACAUUUCCACCCUCUUAGACUCCCACAAAGCCAUGCACCAGUACCCUCCCUUUCCUAACGAGGAAACCAAAGUUUAGAAGAGUUAAGUCACCUGUUCCAGAUCACACAUCCCUAACCUGUGAUGCUGGGACAUGAACCUAGGCUUGUCUUGCUCUAAAAUCCCUGCCCCUUUCACUCUAAACAUCCACUGAUAUGCAAAAGGAUUUGAGGAAAGAGACACUGAAAUAAACAUGGUGCGGUUAGAAAGAAAUAAAUGUAAAAUCAUUUACUUUGGUUUAAAAAUAUGUGAUUGUACAACUGCAGGACAGGGACAUUUUGGAGCAGCUCGCAUUCUUAAUAUAAGCCCUCAAUAUGUCACAGCCGCCGAUUAAAAACUAGUAUUGUCAUCUCAGCCAAUUGGAGCAGUAUAUUCAUAAAACCAUACUCUCUCCUAAGGAGGAUAACAUAAUGGUUUAACAUGGAAGAUCUGUCACAAACCUUGCUUCCAACACAUAUGAGCCAUGUGACUUUGGGGCAAGUACUUCUCCUUGGUGAUACCCAGCUUACUAAUCUAAAGAAUGGGGAUAAUCAUAGCUCCUAAUUCAGCGUUGAUGUGAGGACCAAAGAGCUCAAUGUGUAGCACAAUGUGUGGCAUGUAUGGCUAAAUUUUUUAGCUAAACAUUUGCUGGUGUUAUUAUCCCCUCUGGAGUUCUGUGCCUAGUUUCAAAGUCUGCAGGUUAAGAGUUAAGAAUGCCUCUGCGUUGCCUGGAGGAGAAGGAAAGCAGAGUUUGCCACCUGGUUCUCAUCUCAGUGACUCUGAAGAGCAGAUAAAGCCUGCCAAGUUAAAGGCCAGGAGAAAAGAAAGAUCUUUUUCUUUUUUAUUUCUUCCAUCAUUUAACAUUUGUGUUUGAGUACCAUCUACAUGCCAGGCAUGUUUUAGGCACUGUGAAUAAAAUGGUGAAGGCCUUGGUACCUGAAGUGAAGGGACUUCCAUCCCAGUGGAGGAAACAAGCAGAGAACGGCCAAAUAAAGAAAAUGAAUAGAAUGAUUGCAAAUGGAAGUGUUAUGAAGGAGCAAACCACAGGCUGAGAUAGAGAUGGUAAAGGGGUGGAUUGCAUUAGGCAGAGUAACCACAGAGUACUAUUGAAGAGGUUGCAAUUAAUCAGAGAUGUGAAGGCUAAAACAUGGGCAGAAAGCAUGCUCGGCAGAAGUAACAGCAUGGACAGAAGCUCCAGUGGGAGAAAGCUUGGGCUGAUCAGGAAGCUGAGAGAAGAACGGACACGUGCUUGAGACCAGGGAGCAGUUUCAAAUGGGGUUGAGAAGAUCUGACAAUGUCCGUGGCAUGGCCAGGAGUUUGGAUUUUAUUUUUAGGGCAAUGGAAAGUCAUUGAAAGGCUUUAAGUGGAGGCCAACGUAAGCUGGUGACAAACCUCACAUGGAGCCUGGUACUGCAGGAGGAUGUAGUAGAACCUUGAUAAUUUACUCUAGAGAGGACAGGGACCUGGACAGGGGACAAUGGCAGUGGAAAUGGGGAGGAUGGAUGGAUCUGAGACAAGUCUUGGAAAGAAAAUUCACAGGAAGUAUCAGACUGUCCAACUAUGACUAGGAUCCUCCCUGAAUGUUCUAUUCAAACGAUGGAUAAUCAUUUGAUAACUGGUGAAAAGGUACAGCCAGAAAGAUUAUUAGAAUUUAUCUGGUGUCAAUCAGUCUAGGAUUAUUGAAUAUCUGAAAUUCUUUAUCAAUUGCUCACUUUGGAUAGAUAUAAAAAUUAUUUCAUGUUAAUGACAUUAGACUCAUAUAUUAAAUUAUCAUAUAGGAAUGUUUUUGGGCUGAGCACAGUGGCUCAUGCCUGUAAUCCCAGGACUUUAGGAGGCCGAAACAGGCAGAUUGCUUGAGCCCAGUAGUUCAAGACCAGCCUGGGCAACAUAGCGAAAUCCUAUCUCUACAAAAAAUACAAAAAUUAGCCAGGCAUGAUGGCAUAUACCUGUAGUCUCAGCUACUCAGUAGGCUGAGGUGGGAGGGUCACUUGAGCCCGGAAGGUUGAGGUUGCAGUGAGUUGUGAUCACACCACUGGAUUCCAGCCUGUGUACCCGGUUUCAAAAAAAAAAAAAACUUAAUUUUUUUGUUUUUAAAUAGAAAUACUUUUGGAUUAAUUAAUCAGGACCAAUCUAAUAUGGCAUCUCGCAGAUCUGCGGGAAAAAAGACUGGAGGGAAAAGUUCAGUCUGUAGAUUUUUAUUCAAGUAGAGCUGCCCUUCAUGGCAGAAGGCUCUGGACCUUCAGGGAGUUAUGAGCACCUGAGAAGGGGAUGCAGAAAAGGGGAAAUGUGCUGUGCAGGAACCUCACGACAAGGUCUGGCCCUGGGUUUUCCCUCAUGUGACAUCCAUGAAAAGUCACUUCUCUAACUCUUGGGUCAGAACUAGAAGAGGUUCUUAGACCAGUGGUUUUGCCGAUUAGAAGCUCUUGAAGAACUUCCAAAACAAAAACAAAACUAUACCCAGGUAGAACUCAAGGAAGGGGAAGGGGGGAUAAACUGUGUAUUUUUAGUAUUUUUAAAGAGUUCCCCAAGUGAUUGUAAUGCUCUCGAGGUUGAGAAACAUUUUUUAUCAACCCCUUUCUACAGCAGUUUCUCUCCCCUCUUCACCAUUUCAAAACAAUAACUUAAGUGUCACCUUGACAAGAAUAGGCUUUGUGUCAGGAAACUUUUUUAGACUUAAAAGAAAAAAAAUUCUCAAAC